UGGCGGACGGGUGAGUAACGCGUGGGUAACCUGCCUCACACUGGGGGACAACAGUUAGAAAUAGACUGCUAAUACCGCAUAAGCGCACAGGACCGCAUGGUCCGGUGUGAAAAACUCCGGUGGUGUGAGAUGGACCCGCGUUUGAUUAGCUAGUUGGUGGGGUAACGGCCUACCAAGGCGACGAUCAAUAGCCGACCUGAGAGGGUGACCGGCCACAUUGGGACUGAGACACGGCCCAA
RNAcentral lists this ribosomal RNA (239 nucleotides) under uncultured bacterium. RNAcentral describes it as "partial 16S ribosomal RNA". It matches the Rfam family "Bacterial small subunit ribosomal RNA", at positions 96 to 334 of the family's 1533-position model. The record is from RNAcentral.